CAGGUAAUUUAUUCUAAUUUAAAGCAGGAAAACAAAGUUUGUACGGUGUGUUAAUCAUGCAAAUAUGACUUGAAGGCAAAACACUCAGGUAUCAAUAACAUCCACCACGACUAUGUGGGUAAGUAAAUAAAAGCUGGAUAUAGUAGAGACAACAGGAAAACCAAUAGUCCCUGAGGUCUUUGAUGCAGUCUAACGUUGACCUCCGUUAGAAGAAUUACAUCCAAAUAGCAUAAAUACAUACUUAUUAAAACCUAGGUACUGUAAUCAUAAUGAUAAUGGAUUCGGGUUAGUUACUUAUAAAUACCUAGGUACUGUAAUCAUAAUGAUAAUGGAUUAGGGUUAGUUACUUAUUAAAACCUAGGUACUGUAAUCAUAAUGAUAAUGGAUGAGGGUUAGUUACUUAUUAAAACCUAGGUACUGUAAUCAUAAUGAUAAUGGAUUAGGGUUAGUUACUUAUUAAAACCUAGGUACUGUAAUCAUAAUGAUAAUGGAUUAGGGUUAGUUACUUAUUAAAACCUAGGUGCUGUAAUCAUAAUGAUAAUGGAUUAGGGUUAGUUACUUAUUAAAACCUAGGUGCUGUAAUCAUAAUGAUAAUGGAUUAGGGUUAGUUACUUAUUAAAACCUAGGUGCUGUAAUCAUAAUGAUAAUGGAUUAGGGUUAGUUACUUAUUAAAACCUAGGUGCUGUAAUCAUAAUGAUAAUGGAUUAGGGUUAGUUACUUAUUAAAACCUAGGUACUGUAAUCAUAGUGAUAAUGGAUUAGGGUUAG
This is a long non-coding RNA of Oncorhynchus keta (chum salmon), 767 nucleotides long. RefSeq lists it as uncharacterized. The record is from RefSeq and is a predicted model, not a curated record. Lineage: Eukaryota; Metazoa; Chordata; Actinopteri; Salmoniformes; Salmonidae. The transcript has 3 exons.